AUUGAACGCUGGCGGCAGGCCUAACACAUGCAAGUCGAGCGGAAACGAGUUAUUUGAACCUUCGGGGAACGAUAACGGCGUCGAGCGGCGGACGGGUGAGUAAUGCCUAGGAAAUUGCCCUGAUGUGGGGGAUAACCAUUGGAAACGAUGGCUAAUACCGCAUGAUGCCUACGGGCCAAAGAGGGGGACCUUCGGGCCUCUCGCGUCAGGAUAUGCCUAGGUGGGAUUAGCUAGUUGGUGAGGUAAGGGCUCACCAAGGCGACGAUCCCUAGCUGGUCUGAGAGGAUGAUCAGCCACACUGGAACUGAGACACGGUCCAGACUCCUACGGGAGGCAGCAGUGGGGAAUAUUGCACAAUGGGCGCAAGCCUGAUGCAGCCAUGCCGCGUGUGUGAAGAAGGCCUUCGGGUUGUAAAGCACUUUCAGUCGUGAGGAAGGUAGUGUAGUUAAUAGCUGCAUUAUUUGACGUUAGCGACAGAAGAAGCACCGGCUAACUCCGUGCCAGCAGCCGCGGUAAUACGGAGGGUGCGAGCGUUAAUCGGAAUUACUGGGCGUAAAGCGCAUGCAGGUGGUUUGUUAAGUCAGAUGUGAAAGCCCGGGGCUCAACCUCGGAAUAGCAUUUGAAACUGGCAGACUAGAGUACUGUAGAGGGGGGUAGAAUUUCAGGUGUAGCGGUGAAAUGCGUAGAGAUCUGAAGGAAUACCGGUGGCGAAGGCGGCCCCCUGGACAGAUACUGACACUCAGAUGCGAAAGCGUGGGGAGCAAACAGGAUUAGAUACCCUGGUAGUCCACGCCGUAAACGAUGUCUACUUGGAGGUUGUGGCCUUGAGCCGUGGCUUUCGGAGCUAACGCGUUAAGUAGACCGCCUGGGGAGUACGGUCGCAAGAUUAAAACUCAAAUGAAUUGACGGGGGCCCGCACAAGCGGUGGAGCAUGUGGUUUAAUUCGAUGCAACGCGAAGAACCUUACCUACUCUUGACAUCCAGAGAACUUUCCAGAGAUGGAUUGGUGCCUUCGGGAACUCUGAGACAGGUGCUGCAUGGCUGUCGUCAGCUCGUGUUGUGAAAUGUUGGGUUAAGUCCCGCAACGAGCGCAACCCUUAUCCUUGUUUGCCAGCGAGUAAUGUCGGGAACUCCAGGGAGACUGCCGGUGAUAAACCGGAGGAAGGUGGGGACGACGUCAAGUCAUCAUGGCCCUUACGAGUAGGGCUACACACGUGCUACAAUGGCGCAUACAGAGGGCGGCCAACUUGCGAAAGUGAGCGAAUCCCAAAAAGUGCGUCGUAGUCCGGAUUGGAGUCUGCAACUCGACUCCAUGAAGUCGGAAUCGCUAGUAAUCGUGGAUCAGAAUGCCACGGUGAAUACGUUCCCGGGCCUUGUACACACCGCCCGUCACACCAUGGGAGUGGGCUGCAAAAGAAGUAGGUAGUUUAACCUUCGGGGGGACGCUUACCACUUUGUGGUUCAUGACUGG
This 1471-nucleotide ribosomal RNA is filed under the name Vibrio alginolyticus. RNAcentral's name for it is "16S ribosomal RNA". It matches the Rfam family "Bacterial small subunit ribosomal RNA". Lineage: Bacteria; Pseudomonadati; Pseudomonadota; Gammaproteobacteria; Vibrionales; Vibrionaceae. The record is from RNAcentral.